AAGUCGUAACAAGGUAACCGUAGGUGAACCUGCGGUUGGAUCAUUAAAAAAAAACAAAAAGUGGGAAAUAAUUGGAGGAAAGCGGGGAGGUCGACUCACCAUGUACUUGUGCUGCUCUGUGAGAAUGUCCAUGCCCUAUUCGGUGUUGGAUGUCCGCUCAGACACGCAGGAGACGGUGAAUAUACCUGUUCCUGAGUACUCUGAAAGUACCAGCCUUUAGGGGAACAUCCUGUGAACUGUUCUGUUUUUUGGCGGGUGGGCAGUGAAAGCUGCUUGUCAGCGUGGGGCGAUCUUCACGGAUCUCUCUGCGUCGUGGACAGCCCGUCAGCCGUGUUCAAAACCAAUUUAUUAUCAUUCAUGUCUAACACUGUAUUUUAUAAAUAUAUAAAACAACUUUUGGCAACGGAUCUCUUGGCUCUC
This 420-nucleotide unclassified non-coding RNA is filed under the name air metagenome. Its description in RNAcentral is "partial contains small subunit ribosomal RNA, internal transcribed spacer 1, and 5.8S ribosomal RNA". The stretch from base 1 to 46 matches the Rfam family "Eukaryotic small subunit ribosomal RNA", at positions 1786 to 1831 of the family's 1831-position model. The record is from RNAcentral.